GACAGAGGGUGCAAACGUUGUUCGGAAUUACUGGGCGUAAAGCGCGUGUAGGCGGCUAAGUAAGUCGGGCGUGAAAUCCCACGGCUCAACCGUGGAAGUGCACUCGAAACUGCAUAGCUAGAGUCCUGGAGAGGAAGGUGGAAUGUUUGGUGUAGAGGUGAAAUUCGUAGAUAUCAAGCGGAACACCGGUGGCGAAGGCGGCCUUCUGGACAGUGACUGACGCUGAGGCGCGAAAGCGUGGGGAGCAAACAGG
Molecule: ribosomal RNA, 253 nt
Filed under: uncultured bacterium
Lineage: Bacteria
Description: partial 16S ribosomal RNA
Rfam family: Bacterial small subunit ribosomal RNA
Source: RNAcentral